UACGAAGGGGGCUAGCGUUGUUCGGAAUUACUGGGCGUAAAGCGCACGUAGGCGGGUCGUUAAGGCAGGGGGGAAAUCCCAGAGCUCAACUCUGGAACUGCCUUUGAUACUGGCGCCCUAGAGUUCGGAAGAGGUUAGUGGAAUUCCCAGUGUAGAGGUGAAAUUCGUAGAUAUUGGGAAGAACACCAGUGGCGAAGGCGGCUAACUGGUCCGAUACUGACGCUGAGGUGCGAAAGCGUGGGGAGCAAACAGG
Molecule: ribosomal RNA, 253 nt
Filed under: uncultured bacterium
Lineage: Bacteria
Description: partial 16S ribosomal RNA
Rfam family: Bacterial small subunit ribosomal RNA
Source: RNAcentral